Molecule: long non-coding RNA, 210 nt
Filed under: Bos taurus (domestic cattle)
Lineage: Eukaryota; Metazoa; Chordata; Mammalia; Artiodactyla; Bovidae
Description: long non-coding RNA NONBTAT015108
Source: RNAcentral
GGCAAUAUCAACAGUCUUAAUUUGAAAACAUUCAGCAAGAUGAACCUAGUGUGCUGGAGGUGACACUGGGAAAAUGUGUGCCUGGGUUUCGAAACCUGGCAGUUCUUCCCAAGCCGUGGAGGACUGUCUGUUCUUGGGGAAACCUAGCUCCUCACAGGCUUCUCCUUUCUCAUUCUUCUUACUUAUUUAUUUAGGAGGAACAGACAUCGA